GAUGAACGCUGGCGGCGUGCCUAAUACAUGCAAGUCGAGCGAACAGACGAGGAGCUUGCUCCUCUGACGUUAGCGGCGGACGGGUGAGUAACACGUGAAUAACCUACCUAUAAGACUGGGAUAACUUCGGGAAACCGGAGCUAAUACCGGAUAAUAUAUUGAACCGCAUGGUUCAAUAGUGAAAGACGGUUUUGCUGUCACUUAUAGAUGGUUCCGCGCCGCAUUAGCUAGUUGGUAAGGUAACGGCUUACCAAGGCAAGGAUGCGUAGCCGGCCUGAGAGGGUGUUCGGCCACACUGGAACUGAGACACGGUCCAGACUACUACGGGAGGCAGCAGUAGGGAAUAUUCCGCGAUGGGCGAAAGCCUGACGAAGCAACGCCGCGUGAGUGAUGAAGGUCUUCGGAUCGUAAAACUCUGUUAUUAGGGAAGAAAAAAUGUGUAAGUAACUAUGCACGUCUUGACGGUACCUAAUCAGAAAGCCCCGGCUAACUACGUG
Molecule: ribosomal RNA, 497 nt
Filed under: uncultured bacterium
Lineage: Bacteria
Description: partial 16S ribosomal RNA
Rfam family: Bacterial small subunit ribosomal RNA
Source: RNAcentral